ACUCCUACGGGAGGCAGCAGUGGGGAAUAUUGCACAAUGGGCGAAAGCCUGAUGCAGCGACGCCGCGUGAGGGAUGACGGCCUUCGGGUUGUAAACCUCUUUCAGCAGGGACGAAGCGCAAGUGACGGUACCUGCAGAAGAAGCACCGGCUAACUCUGUGCCAGCAGCCGCGGUAAUACGUAGGGCGCAAGCGUUAUCCGGAA
RNAcentral lists this ribosomal RNA (203 nucleotides) under uncultured bacterium. Its description in RNAcentral is "partial 16S ribosomal RNA". It matches the Rfam family "Bacterial small subunit ribosomal RNA", at positions 335 to 550 of the family's 1533-position model. The record is from RNAcentral.